AACGAUGAUAUCACUGCUUGCAGUGAUUGAUUAGUGGCGAACGGGUGAGUAACACGUGAGGAACUUGCCCAUGAGCGGGGGACAACAUUCGGAAACGGAUGCUAAUACCCCAUAGGUGGAUUGGUCGCAUGACGAAUUCAUUAAAGGUGGCUUUGCUACCACUCAUGGAUAGCCUCGCGGCGUAUUAGCUAGUUGGUAAGGUAAUGGCUUACCAAGGCAGUGAUACGUAGCCGACUUGAGAGGGUGAUCGGCCACACUGGGACUGAGACACGGCCCAGACUCCUACGGGAGGCAGCAGUAGGGAAUCUUCCACAAUGGGUGCAAACCUGAUGGAGCAAUGCCGCGUGAGUGAAGAAGGUCUUCGGAUCGUAAAGCUCUGUUGUUAGAGAAGAACACGUGCUAGGUAACUACUAGCGCCUUGACGGUAUCUAACCAGAAA
Molecule: ribosomal RNA, 439 nt
Filed under: uncultured Dolosigranulum sp.
Lineage: Bacteria; Bacillati; Bacillota; Bacilli; Lactobacillales; Carnobacteriaceae
Description: bacterial SSU rRNA
Rfam family: Bacterial small subunit ribosomal RNA
Source: RNAcentral